AUUUUUGUGAUUGCUUUUUGGUGGAGCCCAGACUGCAUCCAUCUGGGAUCAUUCAACCUGAGGGAUUCACCCUGGGCAGAGUUUUAAAUGAGAGGAGUUUGGCUUCUGAACCAGAGGACAUAGCUCAAUUUCAAAGCGGUGAUGAAAGCAGCCACAGUCUGAGCAGUUACAUUAGUGCAAAUUUUCCCGAGCCAUGAGUUUACCUCCAGAAAACAAUGCAGUGGACUCUGGAGGCCUUGUUGAGAGCAACGACUCACUGAACCAGGAGGAGAACUGCAGUCUUGCUAUAGACCUAUCCUCAGCUCUCAGGUCUGUGGGCUUAAUGAGCACACUAAAUCUGAAAGAACUGUUCUCAGUAUCCAAACCUGAAGAGGAAACUCCAGUUUUGUCUUCAUUAGAUGAUCAAGCUGAUCAUACAGAAGGGCCAGCAGAUCCAGUGGAGGAAGAGGUGCUGAAUGUGACAUUCCAGUCAAAGUUCAUUGACUUCUUCCCGCUGUAUCAGGACUACUGUCUACAAGAGGUGAAAGAAGACAUCUUCAGACUCACCAGUUUUGUGUCUGAGCUGAUAACUCCUCAGUACCUGCAGGGUCUGCAGUCCCGUUUGAAUCCUUCAUGUAAAUCUGAGGCUGCAUCACCACAAUUAAACCCUGAUGAAGCUUCUCCUUCCUCACAUCUGCCCCAGCCAAUCAGGGUGACUCCAUGCACUCUUUGGCAGGAUCUAGAGGAGGUGAAGGUGUCUGGCCUGCUGGGCAGCUUGACAACCAGAGAGAUCCGUCUUCAGGAGUCCCUGUUUGAGUUGAUCGGCUCUGAAGCAUCUUACCUAAGGAGCCUCAGAGUUGCUGUCAAUCACUUCUACAAAUCAAAGGAGCUGAGAAAGAGUCUGUCCAAAAGGGAGCAUCAUGUGUUGUUUUCCAACAUUCAUGGCGUGAUGGCAGCCAGUGAAAAGUUUCUGAUGGAUCUGGAAAUUCGACUGGGAGAGAAUGUUUUGAUGUCUCAGGUUGAAAACAUUGUACUUCAGCACUGCCCAGAGUUUCACAGCCUGUAUGUGCCAUAUGUGACCAACAUGAUGUACCAGGAGGCUCUUAUCAGUCAGCUGCUUCAGCAGAACAGAGACUUCCUGAACUCAAUCAAGAAGCUUGAGAGUGACCCAGUGUGUCAGAGACAGAGCCUCAAGUCCUUCCUCGUCCUACCCUUCCAGAGAAUUACUCGAAUGAAACUCAUCCUGGAGAGCGUCUUGAAACUAACUGAACAAGGGUCUGACUCAGUUUUGAACCUUGAAAAAGCAAUAGAAGCCAUUCAUGAGAUAGUGGCUGAGUGUGACAAGGGGGUCCAAAAAAUGAAACAAAUUGAGGAGCUGGUGUCCCUGGAAAUGCACAUGGAUUUCGGCAAAGUGAAAUCUGUGCCUUUGGUUGUGAGCGGGCGUUUCCUUGUGCACCAAGGUCCAAUGAGACAGCUGACUUUGGAGGCUGCUUACAGCUCAAAAACGUCAUUCAUCAGUGUCUACCUUCACCUCUUCAACAACCUUCUGAUCAUCUCAUCAAAAAAGUCAGGGAUCAGAGGUUCACAGUUCUGGAUCAUGCUGAAUUCCCCACACACGUCCAUCUUGAGCCUCUGAAGGCAGAAGUCUUGGGUCUGCCCCGAGAGUCCUUCUUGCUGCAUCUCUCUCAGAGUCGAACUGGGCAACCGACUGCCAUGAUACUUGUCACACACUCAAGGUCAGAUAAAGAGGAGUGGAUACAGCUGUUGUCAAAACAGUGAUGGAAAUAUGACCCUGAUCUUUUGUUUUAAAGUACAUUUUCCUAUUUUAACAUGCACAUUACUCACAUGUCAUUUUUGAUAACUGAAAAAAAAAGUUUUUUUUCCACACUUAUGGGUUUAUCUUAACUGCACUUAAUGUUUUUAAAUAGAGGCACUCUAAAGCAUCAACUCACAACGGGUAGGAACAUGCACUGAGCUAUCACAAUUAAGAAACACAAUUAAGAAACACUUCAACUAAGGGGAUAUUUACAUUUUUAGUGAUCAAGUUUUAUCCAUUUGGACUGAAAUUGCUUUUUGAAAGAGAUAUGCUUUUGACUUGUUCUGACAUUUUUUUAAGAUCAGCUUUUUGUGACAAAGUUUUGAACUGAAUAAAGAUGCUGAAAGACAACAUGACA
RNA transcript from Notolabrus celidotus (New Zealand spotty), 2153 nucleotides. It is a transcript of the gene named rho guanine nucleotide exchange factor 19, with no coding region annotated. NCBI's taxonomy places the organism in Eukaryota, Metazoa, Chordata, Actinopteri, Labriformes, Labridae. The transcript is spliced from 12 exons. The record is from RefSeq and is a predicted model, not a curated record.